RNAcentral lists this ribosomal RNA (442 nucleotides) under uncultured bacterium. Its description in RNAcentral is "partial 16S ribosomal RNA". It matches the Rfam family "Bacterial small subunit ribosomal RNA", at positions 338 to 795 of the family's 1533-position model. The record is from RNAcentral.
CCUACGGGUGGCAGCAGUGGGGAAUAUUGGGCAAUGGAGGAAACUCUGACCCAGCAACGCCGCGUGAAUGAUGAAGGUCUUCGGAUUGUAAAGUUCUUUUCUAAGGGAAGAAGAAAGUGACGGUACCUUAGGAAUAAGCCUCGGCUAACUACGUGCCAGCAGCCGCGGUAAUACGUAGGAUGCGAGCGUUAUCCGGAUUUAUUGGGUUUAAAGGGUGCGCAGGCGGCGAGUUAAGUCAGCGGUAAAAUUUCGGGGCUCAACCCCGACAAGCCGUUGAAACUGGCUUGCUAGAGUGGGCGAGAAGUAUGCGGAAUGCGUGGUGUAGCGGUGAAAUGCAUAGAUAUCACGCAGAACUCCGAUUGCGAAGGCAGCAUACCGGCGCCCAACUGACGCUCAGGCACGAAAGCGUGGGUAUCGAACAGGAUUAGAUACCCUAGUAGUC